RNAcentral lists this ribosomal RNA (336 nucleotides) under uncultured bacterium. Its description in RNAcentral is "bacterial SSU rRNA". It matches the Rfam family "Bacterial small subunit ribosomal RNA", at positions 29 to 346 of the family's 1533-position model. The record is from RNAcentral.
AACGAACGCUGGCGGCGUGGAUAAGACAUGCAAGUCGAACGGGACAACAUCUGUAGCAAUACAGGUGUUGUUUAGUGGCGAACGGGUGCGUAACACGUGGGCAAUCUGCCGAGAAGUGGGGGAGUAGCUCGCCGAAAGGACGAAUUAAUACCGCAUAUGAUCAGUGAAGACAUCUUCACGACAUCAAAGACCGGGGCGAACCUGGCGCUUCUUGAUGAGCCCGCGGCCUAUCAGCUAGUUGGUGAGGUAACGGCUCACCAAGGCUAUGACGGGUAGCUGGUCUGAGAGGACGACCAGUCACACUGGAACUGAGACACGGUCCAGACACCUACGGGU